GCGGGCGUGGCGGAAUGGCAGACGCGCCAGACUUAGGAUCUGGUGUCGAAAGGCGUAAGAGUUCGAGUCUCUUCGUCCGCA
RNAcentral lists this transfer RNA (81 nucleotides) under Clostridiales bacterium. Its description in RNAcentral is "tRNA-Leu". It matches the Rfam family "tRNA". From Rfam's summary of the family: Transfer RNA (tRNA) molecules are approximately 80 nucleotides in length. RNAcentral also lists the same sequence under 4 other names. Lineage: Bacteria; Bacillati; Bacillota; Clostridia; Eubacteriales. The record is from RNAcentral.